RNAcentral lists this ribosomal RNA (429 nucleotides) under Chloroflexota bacterium. RNAcentral's name for it is "Chloroflexi bacterium partial 16S ribosomal RNA". It matches the Rfam family "Bacterial small subunit ribosomal RNA", at positions 355 to 776 of the family's 1533-position model. The record is from RNAcentral. Lineage: Bacteria; Bacillati; Chloroflexota.
UGGGGAAUAUUGCACAAUGGGCGCAAGCCUGAUGCAGCCAUGCCGCGUGUAUGAAGAAGGCCUUCGGGUUGUAAAGUACUUUCAGUCGGGAGGAAGGUGGUAAGGUUAAUAACCUUAUCAAUUGACGUUACCGACAGAAGAAGCACCGGCUAACUCCGUGCCAGCAGCCGCGGUAAUACGGAGGGUGCACGCGUUAAUCGGAAAUACUGGGCGUAAAGCGCACGCAGGCGGUUGAUUGAGUCAGAUGUGAAAUCCCCGGGCUUAACCCGUGGAUUGCAUCUGAUACUGGUCAGCUAGAGUCUUGUAGAGGGGGGUAAAAUUCCAUGUGUAGCGGUGAAAUGCGUAGAGAUGUGGAGGAAUACCGGUGGCGAAGGCGGCCCCCUGGACAAAGACUGACGCUCAGGUGCGAAAGCGUGGGGAGCAAACAGG